GGCGGUCCGUUUUUUACCCUAAUGGCGGGGGAGGAGCACUCUCACUCAGCAGCUCGUCAAAAAUCUGUUUUUGACGGCGGAUCGAAAGAUUUCGAGGAAAUUUGUGGAGGGGAUUCUGUCGUUGAUUGUGGAGAGGAGGUUGUCGAAGUGGCAAAUAUUUUACUCUUACCUACACAAGAUGUACUGGGGACAUGGAAAGUAUGGGAUUGAAGCGGCAUCUCUUUUUUACUUUGGAAAGCACCCUUCUGUUCUUAAUAUAGGAGAAUCAGCAUUGUUGGCUGGGAUAUUACCGUCUCCUGAAACCCUAAACCCAAUUACAAACUUACAAAGGGGGAAAUAUUCACAAGCUAGAGUAUUGAGAAGGAUGGUGGCAGCUGGUUUCCUUGAUUUGGAGACGGCACUUUUGAUUGUGAAACAACCUAUUAGCUUGCCUGUCUAUCAAGUUGCAGACACUAACGAGGGAUAUGGUACCUCUAAAAAGAACUUAAAGAAGAGAAUGAAUGCUCGUGAAAUUUGGGACUGGGAAAUAGCAACCAUGUUACUGGAAGCAAGAGAGGACAUGGAAAAGUGGGCCUUGCGGAAGUAUGGAAGCAUCCAAUAAUGUUGAAAUGCCUCAUAUACUAUCUUAUUUUCUGAAGGAAUACAAUACGCUGAGCCUUUAGUCAGUGUCAGAGCACAAUCUCAGAAAUUGCCAAAUAAUUUGCUAUAAAAUAGCCAUGGACACCAUGGUGCCUCUUGUAUUUACAGGUGGUGGUGGUGGUUCCUUGAUUAGCACGCAUUUGUGAGCUCGGGAUCUUUGUUUUUACUUUCAGAGAAAGUACAUUAAAAAAAAUCUUCGGUCAGCGCAAGAAUGAAAUUGUAAGUGAUGUGUGUUGCUAAGCUUAAUUCAAGAUAGAAACUGGAAGCAGCAAAUGGUGGUGAGACCUCACAGGCUUCCAGAGAAGUCGACCACUUCUUUAUACAGAAGUUCAUCAGCCGAUGAUGAAUUGUUCAAGUGGUUGAGAAUUUUGAUACCAAAUUCAACUGUGACAUUUACAGCAACUUUAUAUUCAAAAGCAUACCACAAGUAUAUGAUAAUGCAAGCAGGAAGAUCUGAAAAUAUCCUCCCCUGCUUGUGACCAGGUUGUAUAAUUUUGCGGACAAAGAAUAUUGUUGCAAACAUAUAUCAUUAAUUUCAUUUGUCAAACGACAUUGUCUUGUUAUUGUGUCCUAAAAAAGGGUUUUCUGUGUUCUCCUUUUUUCCC
Asparagus officinalis (garden asparagus) is the source of this 1244-nucleotide RNA transcript. It is a transcript of the gene named penicillin-binding protein 2D-like, with no coding region annotated. The transcript is spliced from 7 exons. The record is from RefSeq and is a predicted model, not a curated record. NCBI's taxonomy places the organism in Eukaryota, Viridiplantae, Streptophyta, Magnoliopsida, Asparagales, Asparagaceae.